This 40-nucleotide small RNA is filed under the name Arabidopsis thaliana (thale cress). Its description in RNAcentral is "ATSL304360". The record is from RNAcentral. Lineage: Eukaryota; Viridiplantae; Streptophyta; Magnoliopsida; Brassicales; Brassicaceae.
AAAAUGAGAUUUGAAGGCGAAGAGGCUCCUGAGCAGAGGU